Molecule: ribosomal RNA, 465 nt
Filed under: Vreelandella stevensii
Lineage: Bacteria; Pseudomonadati; Pseudomonadota; Gammaproteobacteria; Oceanospirillales; Halomonadaceae
Description: partial 16S ribosomal RNA
Rfam family: Bacterial small subunit ribosomal RNA
Source: RNAcentral
CCUACGGGCGGCUGCAGUGGGGAAUAUUGGACAAUGGGCGAAAGCCUGAUCCAGCCAUGCCGCGUGUGUGAAGAAGGCCUUCGGGUUGUUAAGCACUUUCAGUGGGGAAGAAAGCCUUGGGGCUAAUACCCUCGAGGAAGGACAUCACCCACAGAAGAAGCACCGGCUAACUCCGUGCCAGCAGCCGCGGUAAUACGGAGGGUGCGAGCGUUAAUCGGAAUUACUGGGCGUAAAGCGCGCGUAGGCGGUCUGAUAAGCCGGUUGUGAAAGCCCCGGGCUCAACCUGGGAACGGCAUCCGGAACUGUCAGGCUAGAGUGCAGGAGAGGAAGGUAGAAUUCCCGGUGUAGCGGUGAAAUGCGUAGAGAUCGGGAGGAAUACCAGUGGCGAAGGCGGCCUUCUGGACUGACACUGACGCUGAGGUGCGAAAGCGUGGGUAGCAAACAGGAUUAGAUACCCUGGUAGUC